This 406-nucleotide ribosomal RNA is filed under the name uncultured bacterium. RNAcentral's name for it is "partial 16S ribosomal RNA". It matches the Rfam family "Bacterial small subunit ribosomal RNA", at positions 30 to 526 of the family's 1533-position model. The record is from RNAcentral.
AUUGAACGCUGGCGGCAGGCCUAACACAUGCAAGUCGCACGAGUGGCGGACGGGUGCGUAAUGUCUGGGAAACUGCCCGAGGGAGGGGGGUAACUACUGGAAACGGUAGAUAAUACCGCAUAACAUCGGAUGUGACCAGAUGGGAUUAGCUAGGAGGUGGGGUAACGGCUCACCUAGGCGACGAUCCCUAGAUGGUCUGAGAGGAUGACUGGCCCCACUGUAACUGAGACACGGUCCAGACUCCGACGGGAGGCAGCAGUGGGUAAUAUUGCCCAAUGGGCGCAAGCCUGAUGCAGCCAUGCCGCGGGUAUGAAGAAGGCCUUCGGGUUGUAAAGUACUUUCAGCGAGGAGGCGUUACUCGCAGAAGAAGCACCGGCUAACUCCGUGCCAGCAGCCGCGGUAAUUC